Molecule: long non-coding RNA, 1171 nt
Organism: Diceros bicornis minor
Lineage: Eukaryota; Metazoa; Chordata; Mammalia; Perissodactyla; Rhinocerotidae
Exons: 3
Source: RefSeq, a predicted model, not a curated record
CGCAGGCCACGGGCUCAGGCUGUGACAGGCCAGGAGAGAGAGUGAAUUCCUGAGCUGUGUACCUUCACCGAGAACAUCCUGCCUCCAGCACGGCAGGAAUUUGGGACUGCAGGCAAGGGCCAGGAAUGCAGGGCAGAAGGAAGGAGGGACGAUCUGAGGAGGGCUGGAAGCCAACCGAGAAGCAGGGCCAUAAAGUUUCCAGUUACCACUGUUUUCAAUAAACUGCAAUUUGUUUUAGAACUUCACGUCAGUUUUCUUGUAAAAGAUUCAACAGCACAGGAUCUGCCUUUGCACACGCGACAGUGGGAGCGUUAGGACCGGGAGUAACGUCAGUGCCGAGUAGAGUGAAGUGAGUGACACACACACCGGACAGGAGAUGCCCGAGGUGCAGAGGAGCCUUUGAUAACGGGGUUCCUGCCUUCCCCAGCACAGGUCCUGUCACUCCACUCUCGCCCCUGUUUCUGGGACGAUCCUGCUCCAUCCACCCUGAUGUCCUGCGUGUGACCUCAUCUAAAGUGCUGCUCACAGGGUGCUAGUCCGUCAGAACCUGCAGAUCCAAUUUCUCAACCUGUCCAUGCAGCCCCCGGGACUCGGGCCUUCAUCAGGUUCAUGCCUCAUACGCCGCAUGUGUUCUUGCUCUGACUCAGGCCUCGGAUCCUGCCCUGCUCAGGCCCUGUCAGUUGCCCCUUCUCCAACUUUAAUCCCAGAAGGAAGCCUCUCAAGACCAACUUCUCCAAUGGGGGAUGACCUUCCUCUCUUGAACUUGUGUAUCACACAAGCCAGACAUGCGUUCUGCUGCGUUUUGUAUUCCUGGCUGCUUCACGUCUGGACUCUCCAAACAGGUUGCACAAUGUUCGAGGGCAGAAGUCAAGUUUUGCACCCUCUCUGGGUCUCUCCUGUGCUGGGCACACAGGCAGAAGUUUGCUUGUGUUCGUUGUUGUAUCACGGACAGGAAAUAGAAUACCCUGUGGUGAAAGGCCCAUCUUUCUUACAGGAAAGAAAUUAUAUCUGUAGGUGCGGGUGGACUGGAGAUCUGCAAAGCAGCCCAGGGAUGGGCAAGGACUGUGGAGGCCAGAGAGGAGGAGCAGCAUCAGGCAUUUUCCAGCCCUGCCUGGUUUCAGUCUGAGGGUCGGGCGCUCUUUCUGAUAAAGCUGUGAAUUAAGGUUGAAAU